UACCUUCUACAGUAGCAAAUAAACUCAAAUG
RNAcentral lists this non-coding RNA (31 nucleotides) under Mus musculus (house mouse). Lineage: Eukaryota; Metazoa; Chordata; Mammalia; Rodentia; Muridae. The record is from RNAcentral.